GAAAUGGGUGGAUGGGAGUG
RNAcentral lists this microRNA (20 nucleotides) under Hevea brasiliensis (rubber tree). Its description in RNAcentral is "partial microRNA 2118". The record is from RNAcentral. Lineage: Eukaryota; Viridiplantae; Streptophyta; Magnoliopsida; Malpighiales; Euphorbiaceae.